RNAcentral lists this ribosomal RNA (496 nucleotides) under uncultured bacterium. RNAcentral's name for it is "partial 16S ribosomal RNA". It matches the Rfam family "Bacterial small subunit ribosomal RNA", at positions 29 to 507 of the family's 1533-position model. The record is from RNAcentral.
AUGAACGCUGGCGGCGUGCCUAAUACAUGCAAGUCGAGCGAACAGACGAGGAGCUUGCUCCUCUGACGUUAGCGGCGGACGGGUGAGUAACACGUGGAUAACCUACCUAUAAGACUGGGAUAACUUCGGGAAACCGGAGCUAAUACCGGAUAAUAUAUUGAACCGCAUGGUUCAAUAGUGAAAGACGGUUUUGCUGUCACUUAUAGAUGGAUCCGCGCCGCAUUAGCUAGUUGGUAAGGUAACGGCUUACCAAGGCAACGAUGCGUAGCCGACCUGAGAAGGUGAUCGGCCACACUGGAACUGAGACACGGUCCAGACUCCUACGGGAGGCAGCAGUAGGGAAUCUUCCGCAAUGGGCGAAAGCCUGACGGAGCAACGCCGCGUGAGUGAUGAAGGUCUUCGGAUCGUAAAACUCUGUUAUUAGGGAAGAACAAAUGUGUAGGUAACUAUGCACGUCUUGACGGUACCUAAUCAGAAAGCCACGGCUAACUACGUG